UUUUGCCGAAACUUCGUUAUCUUCCUCUUUCCCCGGGCGGUGGUCGCCGUUGCCCCUCGCUCCACACUGAGGAAGCCGUCUCACGUUGUUGCUGUGCCCAGGUGACAAACUGCCCCGCGGGGAGCGGGCACCUUCUGCUCGAGGAGGGUCUCGGCCCCUCUGAAGCGGCUGCUCCCGGGACUGAUCAGGUUUGACGACCAGUGACUGUGAAGUUGUUCCCAGCAUUACUGGGCAAGGCUCGUUCCUGACCCCGAUCCACAUGACAAGUGGAAGAUUCUAACAGCAGGCAGAGGCUCAAUGUUCCUUUGCCCAGCAAGUUGGCCUUGGCCACUCUGCACAAGGUUUUGAGUCUCCUGCUGAGAUGGGAGUGGUUCACUGCACUGUGCUGUUACUGUAUGGGAUUCUCAUCUCAGUCCAGGGUAAUGAACACAUCUUGUUUGAU
Long non-coding RNA from Pristis pectinata (smalltooth sawfish), 442 nucleotides. RefSeq lists it as uncharacterized. NCBI's taxonomy places the organism in Eukaryota, Metazoa, Chordata, Chondrichthyes, Rhinopristiformes, Pristidae. The transcript has 3 exons. The record is from RefSeq and is a predicted model, not a curated record.